GACGAACGCUGGCGGCGUGCCUAAUACAUGCAAGUUGAGCGCUGAAGGUUGGUACUUGUACCAACUGGAUGAGCAGCGAACGGGUGAGUAACGCGUGGGGAAUCUGCCUUUGAGCGGGGGACAACAUUUGGAAACGAAUGCUAAUACCGCAUAAAAACUUUAAACACAAGUUUUAAGUUUGAAAGAUGCAAUUGCAUCACUCAAAGAUGAUCCCGCGUUGUAUUAGCUAGUUGGUGAGGUAAAGGCUCACCAAGGCGAGGAUACAUAGCCGACCUGAGAGGGGGGUCGGCCAAAUUGGGACUGAGACAAGGCCCAAACUCCUACGGGAGGGAGCAGUAGGGGAUCUUCGGGAAUGGACGAAAGGCUGACCGAGCAACGCCGCGGGAGUGAAGAAGGGUUUCGGAUCGGAAAACUCUGUUGGUAGAGAAGAACGUUGGUGAGAGUGGAAAGCUCAUCAAGUGACGGUAACUACCCAGAAAGGGACGGCUAACUACGUG
This 497-nucleotide ribosomal RNA is filed under the name uncultured bacterium. RNAcentral's name for it is "partial 16S ribosomal RNA". It matches the Rfam family "Bacterial small subunit ribosomal RNA", at positions 28 to 507 of the family's 1533-position model. The record is from RNAcentral.